GCCAGACUCCUACGGGAGGCAGCAGUGGGGGAUAUUGCACAAUGGGGGAAACCCUGAUGCAGCGACGCCGCGUGGGUGAAGAAGCGCCUCGGCGCGUAAAGCCCUGUCAGCAGGGAAGAAAAUGACGGUACCUGAAGAAGAAGCCCCGGCUAACUACGUGCCAGCAGCCGCGGUAAUACGUAGGGGGCAAGCGUUAUCCGGAUUUACUGGGCGUAAAGGGAGCGUAGACGGAUAAGCAAGUCUGAUGUGAAAAUCCGGGGCCCAACCCCGGAAUUGCAUUGGAAACUGCAUAUCUAGAGUAUCGGAGAGGCAAGUGGAAUUCCUGGUGUAGCGGUGAAAUGCGUAGAUAUCAGGAGGAACACCAGUGGCGAAGGCGGCUUGCUGGACGAUGACUGACGUUGAGGCUCGAAAGCGUGGGGAGCAAACAGGAUUAGAUACCCUAGUA
Molecule: ribosomal RNA, 445 nt
Filed under: uncultured bacterium
Lineage: Bacteria
Description: bacterial SSU rRNA
Rfam family: Bacterial small subunit ribosomal RNA
Source: RNAcentral